This 254-nucleotide ribosomal RNA is filed under the name uncultured bacterium. RNAcentral's name for it is "partial 16S ribosomal RNA". It matches the Rfam family "Bacterial small subunit ribosomal RNA", at positions 524 to 776 of the family's 1533-position model. The record is from RNAcentral.
UACGGGGGGAGCAAGCGUUGUUCGGAUUUACUGGGCGUAAAGGGCGCGUAGGCGGUCGUGACAAGUCACUUGUGAAAUCUCCGGGCUUAACUCGGAACGGUCAAGUGAUACUGUCGGACUAGAGUACAGAAGGGGCAACUGGAAUUCUCGGUGUAGCGGUGAAAUGUGUAGAUAUCGAGAGGAACACCUGCGGCGAAGGCGGGUUGCUGGGCUGAUACUGACGCUGAGGCGCGAAAGCCAGGGGAGCAAACGGG